This 444-nucleotide ribosomal RNA is filed under the name uncultured bacterium. RNAcentral's name for it is "partial 16S ribosomal RNA". It matches the Rfam family "Bacterial small subunit ribosomal RNA", at positions 354 to 796 of the family's 1533-position model. The record is from RNAcentral.
GUGAGGAAUAUUGGUCAAUGGACGCAAGUCUGAACCAGCCAAGUCGCGUGAAGGAUGUCGGUUCUAUGGAUUGUAAACUUCUUUUGUACUAGAGUAAAAGUAGGUACGUGUACCCAUUUGCAAGUAUAGUACGAAUAAGCAUCGGCUAACUCCGUGCCAGCAGCCGCGGUAAUACGGAGGAUGCGAGCGUUAUCCGGAUUUAUUGGGUUUAAAGGGUGCGUAGGCGGCGAAUUAAGUCAGCGGUAAAAUUUCUGGGCUCAACCCAGUCGUGCCGUUGAAACUGGUUUGCUUGAGUACGGAUGAAGUAGGCGGAAUUUGUAGUGUAGCGGUGAAAUGCAUAGAUAUUACAAGGAACUCCAAUUGCGCAGGCAGCUUACUAAACCGUAACUGACGCUGAUGCACGAAAGUGUGGGUAUCAAACAGGAUUAGAAACCCGGGUAGUCC